GCGGGAAGAGUCUGCAGGGAAGAUCAUGGGAAACCAGGAGGAUUCUGGGAUGCAGGAUGAGACUGCUGCGGGGACAGAUUAAACACAGUCGACUGAACGCAGACUGACUGUCCUCCAGCAGAGACUCCAGAGCAGCCAUCAGGGGGAGUGGUCUGAGUCUGUGUUUACACUGGUUACUAAGCUACAUCACUGGAGGAAGCGGAGCCACAGGGUAAACAGACCAGCCUGCUUAAAGCUGAUAGAGACGCCGCACUGGUUUGGGCCCAGGCAGGAUCUUGAACCUGGCUAGAGUCAGAGCCACCACCACCUUCAUCUCUGCCAUGGCGAAGUUCUGUCCGAUGCAGUUCCUGCAGAUGGAGAUAUGCACCGAGACCAAAAUCACAUACUUCUCUCAUGGAGCAGAUCUCUGACUUCAGCUCGGCAGCGCUCCUGAUAAUCCUGAUUCAUGGCCAGAUUGUAGAAGAUCCAGGAGAGAGCGCUGGCG
Molecule: non-coding RNA, 484 nt
Organism: Danio rerio (zebrafish)
Lineage: Eukaryota; Metazoa; Chordata; Actinopteri; Cypriniformes; Danionidae
Source: RefSeq, a predicted model, not a curated record